Molecule: ribosomal RNA, 551 nt
Filed under: Scaphiophryne brevis
Lineage: Eukaryota; Metazoa; Chordata; Amphibia; Anura; Microhylidae
Description: partial large subunit ribosomal RNA
Rfam family: Bacterial large subunit ribosomal RNA (bases 1-401)
Source: RNAcentral
CCCGAAACUAGGUGAGCUACUUCAAAACAGCCUUCAAGGGCCAACCCGUCUCUGUUGCAAAAGAGUGGGAAGAUUUUCAAGUAGAGGUGACAGACCUACCGAACCUAGAGAUAGCUGGUUAUUCAGGAAAAGGAUUUAAGUCCUGCCUUAAGCUUACCCUUAUUCCAAAAUAUUCCCAUAAGCCUAAGAGCCAUUCAAAUAAGGUACAGCCUAUUUGAAACAGGAUACAACCUCCAACACAGGGUAAUGAUAUUUUCAAAUGUGACUAAGUGGGCCUAAAAGCAGCCAACUUUUAAAUAGCGUUAAAGCUUCAUCACUUAACUAUACUAAUACCCAUAUAUUUACAAAACCCUUCAUCACUACUGAAUGACUCCAUAAUUAUAUGGAGAACACUAUGCUAGAACUAGUAACAAGAAGAAGACCUUCUCCAAAAUGUAAGUGUAAGCCAAAAUGAACACCUCACUGGCACUUAUCGUCUAUGAACCUAUAGUAGCAACACCUCAAGAAAACCCUACUACAAUUAUACGUUAACCUUACACCAGAACAUUACC